AAUGGUAGAGUUUCAUCAUCAUGUCUUAUGUCAUUACCGGAGGAAAAAUGAGACGGAUUUGUGAUUUCUAAAAUCCCAUCUUUUGUUAAUAAUGUUUAUGUGAUGGAAAUGAGUGAGAUUAACAGUUUUGCAGUGAAGACCUAUUAUUGUAUCCGACAUAUGUAAGCAGAACUGUUUAAGAUUUCUUUAGAUGGAACAACAUUUUAUUUGUCGCG
Molecule: long non-coding RNA, 215 nt
Filed under: Mytilus galloprovincialis (Mediterranean mussel)
Lineage: Eukaryota; Metazoa; Mollusca; Bivalvia; Mytilida; Mytilidae
Source: RNAcentral